Molecule: ribosomal RNA, 458 nt
Filed under: uncultured bacterium
Lineage: Bacteria
Description: partial 16S ribosomal RNA
Rfam family: Bacterial small subunit ribosomal RNA
Source: RNAcentral
CCUACGGGAGGCAGCAGUGAGGAAUAUUGGUCAAUGGGCGAGAGCCUGAACCAGCCAAGUCGCGUGAGGGAGUACUGCCCUAUGGGUUGUAAACCUCUUUUGUCGGGGAGCAAAAGCCGGACGUGUCCGGCUGUGAGAGUACCCGAAGAAAACGCAUCGGCUAACUCCGGGCCAGAAGCCGCGGUAAUACGGGGGAUGCGAGGGUUAUCCGUAUUUAUUGGGUGUAAAGGGUUCGCAGGCGGAUUUUUAAGUCAGCGGGAAAAUCGUGGGGCUCAACCCCAUCCAGCCGUUGAAACUGGGGAUCUAGAGUGUGCGAGAGGUAUGCGGAAUGCGUGGUGUAGCGGUGAAAUGCAUAGAUAUCACGCAGAACCCCGAUUGCGAAGGCAGCAUACCGGUGCACAACUGACGCUCAGGCACGAAAGCGUGGGUAUCGAACAGGAUUAGAUACCCGAGUAGUC